This 1995-nucleotide long non-coding RNA is filed under the name Salmo salar (Atlantic salmon). RNAcentral's name for it is "lncRNA (ENSSSAG00000097528.1)". The record is from RNAcentral. Lineage: Eukaryota; Metazoa; Chordata; Actinopteri; Salmoniformes; Salmonidae.
UGUGUGUGUGUGUGUGUGUGUGUGUGUGUGUGUAACCCCUGGGUGACUCACAUAUACAAGGAGGUGACAGGAAAGACCAAGGUCAACCAUGGUCUGGGACCUCUGAGUCGGCCAUUUUGCUUUUGGAAGACAUAAAUCAGAUGAAACGGACAGUUCCUCUCCUCUUCAAAGGCUUUUGUUUUACAGAGGUUAUCAGGAGGGCUGAAGCAAUUGCCUGUAUAAUGGACCCCCUUAGCCAGUCUGAUAAGUAUAACAGUAAGGAACACACAGUCCUGCGACAGUCUGGUAGUCAGCUAGAAGACAAGGAAUAAACUGAUGUUUUCUCAGGUGCUGAGUUGUAUCACCUCAAUGUGACAGCGACAGCCAUUUUGACGCGGUGUUGUCUGCCAACGUCAACCAUUUAGCCAUUGUUUGUGUUCCUGUCUGAAGAGGUUUAUACUAGUGACCACUUCUGGGUGAGUUACUGUAGGCCAAUUCCACGGAAACAGAAUUGCACUGAUUUUGCACUUCAAAGUGUAUGCCAUACAAAAACUCUAUGCACAAUGACUACUUUUACACUGAAGAUUUUACUAAAACACAUUUACCGGAAGAACUGGGCAGAUGCUAAGUUUGGUAACAGAAUCUCAGUUUUUUAUGUGACCACGUUUUCAAAAAAAUCUACACUUAAAUAUCUGCUCCGAAUUAAGAUUGAAAGAUGUCUGCAGAAAGAAUGGGAUGUCAGCUACGACCUACUUUCAAGCGUUGGUCGCUGCUCAGUGGGUAAAGAUGCUGAUUACAGUAAAUGGAAAGAGAGGGGGCUCAUUGGUAGGUUUCAGUGAGAGCCGGAAGAGGUGACAUUAACUAGAGAGAGAGAGAAGAGAGAGAGAGCGGCAGAGAGAGGGAGAGUGAAAGGGAGGGGUUGUCCAGGCUGUUUUCACAGUCUUUCUUUGACACCAGACGACAGAAAGAGAAAGAAAAGUUAUGAGCUGAACAUAACAGUAUACCAGUGGAAGGGAGGACAGUAGCAGGUAACCCUAUGAGCUGAACAUAACAGUAUGCCAGUGGAAGGGAGGACAGUAGCAGGUAACCCUAUGAGCUGAACAUAACAGUAUGCCAGUGGAAGGGAGGACAGUAGCAGGUAACCCUAUGAACAUGACAGUAUGCCAGUGGAAGGGAGGACAGUAGCAGGUAACCCUAUGAGCUGAACAUAACAGUAUACCAGUGGAAGGGAGGACAGUAGCAGGUAACCCUAUGAGCUGAACAUAACAGUAUGCCAGUGGAAGGGAGGACAGUAGCGGGUAACCCUAUGAGCUGAACAUAACAGUAUGCCAGUGGAAGGGAGGACAGUAGCAGGUAACCCUAUGAGCUGAACAUAACAGUAUGCCAGUGGAAGGGAGGACAGUAGCAGGUAACCCAACAGUGGUUUGUGACUAUUAUGAUUUCCCACUGUAGCAAAUUGAAUUGCAGUAAUUCCGUUACUGAUUUUAAACAAAUUCUGUUACCAAUUUGGUAACAGAAUUUAGAGUUUUAAACACUUAAUAAUUCAUAAACCAAAUAGAUAUCAGUAAAAACACUAUGACUUAUUGGUAGGUCUAUCUUAUUAGACACUAUGACUUAUUGGUAGGUCUACCUUAUUAGACACUAUGACUUAUUGGUAGGUCUACCUUAUUUAACACUAUGACUUAUUGGUAGGUCUACCUUAUUAGACACUAUGACUUAUUGGUAGGUCUACCUUAUUUAACACUAUGACUUAUUGGUAGGUCUACCUUAUUUAACACUAUGACUUAUUGGUAGGUCUACCUUAUUAGACACUAUGACUUAUUGGUAGGUCUACCUUAUUAGACACUAUGACUUAUUGGUAGGCCUACCUUAUUUAACACUAUGACUUAUUGGUAGGUCUACCUUAUUAGACACUAUGACUUAUUGGUAGGUCUACCUUAUUAGACACUAUGACUUAUUGGUAGGUCUACCUUAUUAGACACUAUGACUUAUUGGUAGGUCUACCUUAUUUAACAC